GCACCGGUGGUGCAUGGUGCAUUCCUCAGAGUCAUUCAAUUUGAAGGGUACAAUGUCAAUAGCCAUGAUUGAGGUGGCAUGGGGUUCGAUUCCCCGCCGGUGCA
Molecule: non-coding RNA, 104 nt
Organism: Mycena rebaudengoi
Lineage: Eukaryota; Fungi; Basidiomycota; Agaricomycetes; Agaricales; Mycenaceae
Source: the annotation of a GenBank genome assembly